UUUGCAACUGUAGGGCAAAGGUAAUCACCUCAACUAUGAACAUUGCAGGCAGUUCUGCCACAAAUCUUUGCUCGGCAUAACUGAAUUACCAGCAUUCCUCCUGUAUUGAGUCAACCACCAAAAAAGGAACAAUUAACCAAACAGACAGACAUAGCAGUUGAACUUUUAAAUGGCUAGCAAUUUGUACAUCCCUCCACCUUGCAGUCCAACGCCCGAUGGUUUUACUUCCCAACUAAUCUCCGAAGGCAAAACCCAUCAGGACAGAACCACAGAAGACCUACUUAAGAUAACAGGAUGCACACUGCAAUGCAUUAUUCAGCUCAAUUACCCAAAAUGCUUCUGAAACCAAAAUUCAAAUAACUACGACCUGACAUGCUUAUGCCACAGCUCAAGGGUAGUAGAUAUCAACUGGUCAUAUAGACACAGUACAGUAACAAGAGUUAACUUUAUUCCUCAGAAAACUAUCUGAAUCGACGGUAUUACAAUAUUGUACAAAGGCUAACUUUGAUGUAUGCAAAUCAAAUUGUGCACGCUCCUACACACACCUAAGGUGAUCUCAAUCAAGUAUCGAAAAGAGGGUACCAUACUGAAAUGCAGUGGAAACACACAAACAUGAUGCCGGAUCACUCUUCAGUUUCACUGUGAUAUUCACCUCCAAUGAGCUAUUCUACAUCAAAAGCACCAAACUCCAUCCCCG
This 697-nucleotide long non-coding RNA is filed under the name Triticum aestivum (bread wheat). RNAcentral describes it as "long non-coding RNA (TAES_LNC014412)". Lineage: Eukaryota; Viridiplantae; Streptophyta; Magnoliopsida; Poales; Poaceae. The record is from RNAcentral.